Molecule: long non-coding RNA, 879 nt
Organism: Rosa chinensis
Lineage: Eukaryota; Viridiplantae; Streptophyta; Magnoliopsida; Rosales; Rosaceae
Exons: 3
Source: RefSeq, a predicted model, not a curated record
UCUUCCUCAUUUUCUCCCUUUCCUCUCUCUCUCUCUCUACCCAAGACUUCUCUCUCUACCCACUAGCAGGCAAACGCCGCUGUAGUCGUCGGAACCCGGAUCUCAACCAAAAUUUCCAGAUUUUCUCCUCUUCCUCCCCUCUUUCCAUUUCUCAAACCAAAAUCAAGAAAUUUAGCCAUUUAAGCCUCCAAAAACCCUAGAACCCGAAGCUAAAAUAGGGGUUUUUGUGAUUUCUUCUUUCCAAGCUCAAAUCACGGUAAUCUUCCUUCUAAUAUAGCCUCUAUUCAUCCGAUCUAUACCUAUUUCUUACUAAAUCCGAGUUUUUGAUUUUGAUUUGUGAUUUUGUUUGCAUGAAUCCUAUUUUCCCUAAACCAAGAGGCUAGGCUACGGGUUUGGCAAGGAUUUGUGGUAAGGAUCUAUCCAUGCAACCUUGUUUUCGAGUUUUUGGUUGUGAUAUUGAUGUUGGACGGAUUUGUAGGUGAAGAAGGCCAAGGAGAAGGAUUAGGCCGUGAGUUUUGAAGAAGAAAGGGAAACAUGAUCGUUAAGGAAGCUUAAGCGGGAAGUACCAGAGUGUGGAAUACGCCGGCAUUUUUCAGGUUACAAUGAGGUCAUUCUGGACAAUUUGGAUUAGAAGUGGGUCAUUAGCCGAGUUCGUGUGUUGCUGUUCCUGUUGCUUGAAGUUCUUCCCUGUUGGUACUUUAUUGAUUUACUCACUUCUCUUUCAAUGUUGAACUCUGUGAGGUCCGCCUACAUGGGAGCGCGCCUCACCCCUUUGUUUUAUGGUUAUUGUUGAACUCCUUUCAUUUCGGUUAUGAUGUAAGCCCUAAGGCGUCACAGUGCACUUGCCCAUUUUAUUUUGAAGCAUUUCCGGACUUGUUA